Molecule: ribosomal RNA, 274 nt
Filed under: uncultured bacterium
Lineage: Bacteria
Description: partial 16S ribosomal RNA
Rfam family: Bacterial small subunit ribosomal RNA
Source: RNAcentral
AUACGGAGGGGACUAGCGUUGUUCGGAUUUACUGGGCGUAAAGCGCGCGUAGGCGGUUUGGAAAGUCAGAUGUGAAAUCCCAGGGCUCAACCCUGGAACUGCAUUUGAAACUAUCAGACUAGAGAUUGGGAGAGGUAAGUGGAAUUCCGAGUGUAGAGGUGAAAUUCGUAGAUAGUCGGAGGAACACCAGAGGCGAAGGCGACUUACUGGACCAAUACUGACGCUGAGGUGCGAAAGCGUGGGGAGCAAACAGGAUUAGAAACCCUAGUAGUCC